This 251-nucleotide ribosomal RNA is filed under the name uncultured prokaryote. Its description in RNAcentral is "partial 16S rRNA". It matches the Rfam family "Bacterial small subunit ribosomal RNA", at positions 525 to 775 of the family's 1533-position model. The record is from RNAcentral.
ACGGAGGGUGCAAGCGUUAAUCGGAAUUAAUGGGCGUAAAGCGCACGCAGGAGGUUUGUUAAGUCAGAUGUGAAAUCGCCGGGCUCAAACUGGGAAAGGCAUCUGAUACUGGCAAGCUUGAGUCUCGAAGAGGGGGUUAGAAUUCCAGGUGUAGCGGUGAUAUGCGUAGAGAUCUUGAGGAAUAUCGUUGGCGCAGGCAGCCUCCUACGCGAAGACUCACGAUCAAGUGCACAAGCGUUAGGAACAAACAU